This 425-nucleotide ribosomal RNA is filed under the name uncultured bacterium. RNAcentral describes it as "partial 16S ribosomal RNA". It matches the Rfam family "Bacterial small subunit ribosomal RNA", at positions 354 to 796 of the family's 1533-position model. The record is from RNAcentral.
GUUAGGAAUAUUGGACAAUGGGCGCAAGUCUGAUCCAGCCAUGCCGCGUGAGUGAUGAAGGCCUUCGGGUUGUAAAGCUCUUUAGCCGAUGAUUAUAAUGACUGUAGUCGGAAAAUAAGCCCCGGCUAACUUCGUGCCAGCAGCCGCGGUAAUACGAAGGGGGCGAGCGUUAUUCGGAAUCACUGGGCGUAAAGCGUGCGUAGGCGGCUUUGCAAGUUGGGAGUGAAAGCCCAGGGCUCAACCCUGGAAUUGCUCUCAAAACUGCAAGGCUCGAAUUCGGUAGAGGAUAGCGGAAUUGUCAGUGUAGCAGUGAAAUGCGUAGAUAUUGACAGGAACACCAGUGGCGUAAGCGGCUAUCUGGACCGAUAUUGACGCUGAGGCACGAAAGCGUGGGGAUCAAACAGGAUUAGAAACCCGAGUAGUCC